UUGGUUAGAAAUCAACUCAGGUCAUCUCCGCAAUGGUUAUGGCAUCAAGGCCCGCCACGCCGGCAGCGGGCCCCAANGGGGUCUCAGGGAUAUUACAGUCAAC
Non-coding RNA from Pseudomonas syringae pv. actinidiae ICMP 19096, 103 nucleotides. The record is from Rfam. NCBI's taxonomy places the organism in Bacteria, Pseudomonadati, Pseudomonadota, Gammaproteobacteria, Pseudomonadales, Pseudomonadaceae.